Molecule: transfer RNA, 73 nt
Filed under: Daphnia pulicaria
Lineage: Eukaryota; Metazoa; Arthropoda; Branchiopoda; Diplostraca; Daphniidae
Description: tRNA-Thr
Rfam family: tRNA
About the family: Transfer RNA (tRNA) molecules are approximately 80 nucleotides in length.
Source: RNAcentral
GGUCCUAUGGCUUAGAUGGAAGAGCGCCUGCCUAGUAAGCAGGAGAUCACGAGUUCGAGUCUCGUUGGGACCU